GGUUUGAUCCUGGCUCAGAUUGAACGCUGGCGGCAGGCUUAACACAUGCAAGUCGAGCGGAGAUGAGGUGCUUGCACCUUAUCUUAGCGGCGGACGGGUGAGUAAUGCUUAGGAAUCUGCCUAUUAGUGGGGGACAACAUUCCGAAAGGAAUGCUAAUACCGCAUACGUCCUACGGGAGAAAGCAGGGGAUCUUCGGACCUUGCGCUAAUAGAUGAGCCUAAGUCGGAUUAGCUAGUUGGUGGGGUAAAGGCCUACCAAGGCGACGAUCUGUAGCGGGUCUGAGAGGAUGAUCCGCCACACUGGGACUGAGACACGGCCCAGACUCCUACGGGAGGCAGCAGUGGGGAAUAUUGGACAAUGGGGGGAACCCUGAUCCAGCCAUGCCGCGUGUGUGAAGAAGGCCUUAUGGUUGUAAAGCACUUUAAGCGAGGAGGAGGCUACUGAGACUAAUACUCUUGGAUAGUGGACGUUACUCGCAGAAUAAGCACCGGCUAACUCUGUGCCAGCAGCCGCGGUAAUACAGAGGGUGCGAGCGUUAAUCGGAUUUACUGGGCGUAAAGCGUGCGUAGGCGGCUUUUUAAGUCGGAUGUGAAAUCCCCGAGCUUAACUUGGGAAUUGCAUUCGAUACUGGGAAGCUAGAGUAUGGGGAAGGGGAUGGGUAGAAUUCCAGGUGGUAGCGGUGAAAUGGCGGUAGAGAUUUGGAGGAAAUACCGAAUGGCGAAGGCAGCCAUCUGGGCCUAUACUGACGCUGAGGUACGAAGGCAUGGGGGAGCAACAGGAUAAGAU
This 787-nucleotide ribosomal RNA is filed under the name uncultured bacterium. Its description in RNAcentral is "bacterial SSU rRNA". It matches the Rfam family "Bacterial small subunit ribosomal RNA", at positions 10 to 783 of the family's 1533-position model. The record is from RNAcentral.